Molecule: ribosomal RNA, 794 nt
Filed under: uncultured fungus
Lineage: Eukaryota; Fungi
Description: SSU rRNA
Rfam family: Eukaryotic small subunit ribosomal RNA
Source: RNAcentral
GUGCCAGCCGCCGCGGUAAUUCCACGCUCCAAUAGCGUAUAUUAAAGUUGUUGUGGUUAAAAAGCUCGUAGUUGAACCUUGGGCCUGGCUGGCCGGUCCGCCUCACUGCGUGCACUGGUCCGGCCGGGCCUUUCCCUCUGUGGAACCCCAUACCCUUCACUGGGCGUGGCGGGGAAACAGGACAUUUACUUUGAAAAAAUUAGAGUGCUCCAGGCAGGCCUAUGCUCGAAUACAUUAGCAUGGAAUAAUAAAAUAGGACGCGCGGUUCUAUUUUGUUGGUUUAUAGGACCGCCGUAAUGAUUAAUAGGGACAGUCGGGGGCAUCAGUAUUCAACUGUCAGAGGUGAAAUUCUUGGAUCAGUUGAAGACUAACUACUGCGAAAGCAUUUGCCAAGGAUGUUUUCAUUAAUCAGGAACGAAAGUUAGGGGAUCGAAGGCGAUCAGAUACCGUCGUAGUCUUAGCCAUAAACUAUGCCGACUAGGGAUCGGACGGUGUUAUUCAUGACCCGUUCGGCACCUUACGAGAAAUCAAAGUGCUUGGGCUCCAGGGGGAGUAUGGUCGCAAGGCUGAAACUUAAAGAAAUUGACGGAAGGGCACCACCAGGGGUGGAGCCUGCGGCUUAAUUUGACUCAACACGGGGAAACUCACCAGGUCCAGACACAAUAAGGAUUGACAGAUUGAGAGCUCUUUCUUGAUUUUGUGGGUGGUGGUGCAUGGCCGUCUUAGUUGGUGGGGUGACUUGUCUGCUUAUGCGAUAACGAACGAGACCUAACCUGCUAAAUAGCCCGCAUUGG